UUCCAUGUUUUCAGUGGCAUGGAGGGAGCCCGAGAAGAGCAAACAUUGACAUCACCACCGCUGCCCACAGCAGUGACACCACAGGCAUGGUUUAAAAGGGUCAUAUCCUAGUACGUGAUUUCAGACACACCAGGGAGAAGUGUCUCUACUGCACGGCUCCUGGCCUGGUCUCAGACUAGACCAUAAGCUCCCUCAUUUUUAUAUCCCCAGUGCCAAAAACUAUGCCUGGCACUUGAAGGCACUUAAUACGUAUUUUUGGCUUUGUUGACUAGUUUAAUUAACUCAUUAGUGAUGCAAAGUUCUAACUGCAUAUUUACAGAUAUUUAUGUGUGCACCACAUUAUGGGUGGUGAGAAGUAGGAAUUCAAAGAGACAAAAUCAUACUUCCCCUCCCCAAAAUGCUUAUAAAGCCACCAAGAAGACAAGACAUAGACACAUCAAAUAUAAAUAAAAUAUAAAAGGGUGUACCCUGACAUGCCAAAUAUGUGUUCACAGAAACAAAGUUCCUCUUGCCAAACUCCUAUGGUCUAAAGCAGUUUUUCCUAAAACAUGCUCUCCAGAAUACCAGUUUCUCAGGGUGCCAAAUGUGAGGAAAAGCUUUGAUGGUCAGAUGAGUUCAGGGCUGGGUUAGGCUGAUUUCUUUACCAGAGGGUUUCUUGAAGACUUAAAGAAAUCUGUAUUGAGAUAUAAUUUGUAUAGUAUAAAAUUCACCCACUUUAAGUAAACAAUUUGUACAGAGUUUUUAGUAUAGAGUUGUGCAGCCGUCCCCAUAUCACCGCAGAACAUUUCCAUCACCACCCAAAACACCUCAUGCUGUUUGCAGCCAUUUCCCAUCCCCUUCCUUCCUAGCCCCUGAAAACUAAUAAUUUACCUCCUGCCUCUAUAGAUUUGCCUAUUCUGGACAUUUCACAUAGAUGGAAUCAUUUACUGUGUGACCUUUUGCGACUGGCUUCUUUCAUUUAACUUAAUGUUUUCAAGUUCAUCCACAUUAUUGCAUGUAUGCACUGAUGGACAUUUGGGUUGUUCCCACUUUUUGGCUAUCAUAAAUAGCAUUCUUAUCAACAUUCAUGAGCAAGUUUUAUUUGAUCAUAUGUUUUCAGUUCUCUUGGGUCUAUACAGAGGAGUGGAAUUGCUGGGUCAUAUAGUAAUUCUGCAUUUAGCUUUCAGAGGAACUGCCAGACUCUUUUCCAAAGCAACUGCAUGAUUUUACAUUUCCACCAGCAAUGUACAUGAGUUCCAAUUUCCCUACAUUCUUGCCAUCCCUUAUUAUUGUCUGUCUUUUUUACUACAACCAUCUCAGUGGGUGUAAAAUUAUCUAUUGUGGUUUUGAUUUGUGUUUCCCCAAUGACUAUUUGUUCUGAACAUCUUUUCAUGGGUUUCACGAAUCUUCAAAAGAGGACACAGAGGGCAGCAGUUCCUAAAUGCACUGGACCAUGGAACCAAACUUGCAAAAGGCAGCUCCUGAAAUGCAAGUCCACACCCCAAAGUUGGGAAGCAUUGGCCUGAAGCCAGCCUGUGCCUGGAAAUAACCAAGGAGUAGAGGAGGGGUACCAACCCUAUUCCAGCUGGGACUCCAAAUUCCUGUCUGUAGGAUGGCCUCUGCCCGAGGUCAGAAAGGAGGAGCACCGUAAGGUUCAGGACCAUCUUCUGCACACCGGCUACCAGGAGAGACAGGGUCCCGCUCUACUGCCCAGGCUGGAAUGCAG
Molecule: long non-coding RNA, 1705 nt
Organism: Cercocebus atys (sooty mangabey)
Lineage: Eukaryota; Metazoa; Chordata; Mammalia; Primates; Cercopithecidae
Exons: 4
Source: RefSeq, a predicted model, not a curated record